GCUAGCCAGUUACCCCUGCCCCCCUAAAAAUGGCGGCUGACGUUAAAAAAAGGAAAGUUAAUUUUCAACAAGACAUGGACUGUUAAAUAUUUCUUUACAGACGUCAAAGGUAAAGCCGUGUGCUUAGUUUGUGGUAAACAAGUCGCUGUGUUUAAGGAUUACAAUGUUAAUCGCUACCACGUGACCAAACACGAAGAGAAAUACAAGAACUGAUCUGAUGAAGAGCGCGCAAACGAGUCGGAGGCAGACUAUGUCGAAGACAACGUUAACUACGAGGGAUCUGCAGGAUGAGCGCAAGGCUGCUGUAGUCAAAGGUCUCGUCCAGAGAGAUGAGUGACCCGUGAACGCCGCUCUCCAACAGGUUGCCGCUGUACUCCCUCAGACCAAUGGACUGGACCCAGUGGAUCACCUGCUCGUUGGUCCACACCAACACGUCUGAAGUGAAGAGGGCGAGGUGAGCGGUGCGGAGGGGCUGGUGAGGGAAACCAUCUCCUGAAUGGCCAAGCGGAGUUUGAGCCGGUGCAGAGGGUUGCUGAUGCCAAUCUCCCUCUGAAUCUCUGUGUCCGACAGCGCUGACAUGAUGGCUCCGCUCUUCACGUUGGCACGACAUGCCGCCACAUACCAGGCCGGCAUACCCACCCACAGCUGAGUCAUGAUGCCUAGAUGGUGGCUGGUGCUGCGUGCGUGGUGUUUGGGUGUGGAGUGGCCACUGGUGGGCGGGGAGGAGGACGAUGCCAGGGACUGGGCAGUAGCUGACGUGGGCAGGGCGCGGGGGCGAAGCGUCACAUUGAGUCCGUCCAUGCUGCCGCUGUUCACCCGGGACUCGAUCUCGUCAGAGCGCAGCUCGGCUGACUCUCUCUCCACCUGGAUCAUCCUGCACAGACGAGCACAAGCAAGCAUCGAGCUGCUCCUGCAACAUGAGCGCGAGAGUCUGGGCAUCCGAUUGACCGCUGGGGGAG
This is a long non-coding RNA of Solea senegalensis (Senegalese sole), 959 nucleotides long. RefSeq lists it as uncharacterized. The record is from RefSeq and is a predicted model, not a curated record. Lineage: Eukaryota; Metazoa; Chordata; Actinopteri; Pleuronectiformes; Soleidae. The transcript is spliced from 5 exons.